UACAAUCUGCCUCUCUCUUCCCCCAAAAUUCCCCCCAAAGCAAAUAUAGUCUUCAAUUCCACAUCUUUGAAGGGGGCGCCAUCUCAACUCUUCUAAUCGGGCUUGUUCCUUUGUUUCUUGAUAUAAAGAAAGAUCUCAGAUAGAGUUGGAAGAGGAGGAAGGAUUGUGAGAUACCCAGAAAGAAAAAGAUUUCAUUUUCCGAAGCAUAUUUGAAAGAAUGGCUUCAAGACCCGUGGUUCAACAUCAAAAUAGAGGAGCCGCAGAUUUCUAAGGUUUCUUUGCCCACCAGAUUCUGUUAGCUCAGAUUUUAGGUUGGGCGUCUUGAAUAAAGGUUUCAUCGUAUAAGAGAAUGAUAAAACUUACCCAGAAUCUAUGUGGCAUGGACUCUGCUGAAGUAGUUGAAGCUGAAGACCUCGAUGCCCCUUCGUCGGGCACGGGAACCAAAAAAUAGGAUCAUCAGCCCAUGUAGCUUCAGAUGAAAGCCGUAGCGCCAGUGCU
This is a long non-coding RNA of Ipomoea triloba (trilobed morning glory), 498 nucleotides long. RefSeq lists it as uncharacterized. The transcript is spliced from 3 exons. Lineage: Eukaryota; Viridiplantae; Streptophyta; Magnoliopsida; Solanales; Convolvulaceae. The record is from RefSeq and is a predicted model, not a curated record.